Gossypium arboreum is the source of this 301-nucleotide long non-coding RNA. RefSeq lists it as uncharacterized. The record is from RefSeq and is a predicted model, not a curated record. NCBI's taxonomy places the organism in Eukaryota, Viridiplantae, Streptophyta, Magnoliopsida, Malvales, Malvaceae. The transcript is spliced from 2 exons.
AGGAAACAGAAACAGAAUGAAACGAAACAGAGAGCAGGGGAGAAAAAGAAAGAAAUAAAGGGAGAAAAGAGAAAAUUCAAGGUUUGAAGCUUUAAGCUUUAAUAGGUUAAGUUAAGGCUAGACCUUUGAAUUAGCAUCCCAGGCCGAUCCCGAAUUCAAUGAGGUAAAGUAUGUUGAGCAUUGGUAAUGGCAUGUACCUAGGAUGUUUUAUGAGAGUCAUCUAGGUUGUAGAAGUAUUGAUGAAAUGAGUAAAUUAUGGUUGGCAACGGUAUGUAGUAUGAAUUUUGAAAUUUACUAAAAA